UACGGGGGGGGUAAGCGUUGUUCGGAAUUACUGGGCGUAAAGGGCUCGUAGGCGGCCAACUAAGUCAUACGUGAAAUCCCUCAGCUUAACUGGGGAACUGCGUCUGAUACUGGAUGGCUUGGAUUUGGGAGAGGGAUGCGGAAUUCCAGGUGUAGCGGUGGAAUGCGUAGAGAUCCGGAAGAACACCGGGGGCGAAGGCGGCUCGCUGGGCAUGGUCCGACGCUGAGGCGCGAAAGCGUGGGGAGCGAACAGG
RNAcentral lists this ribosomal RNA (253 nucleotides) under uncultured bacterium. RNAcentral's name for it is "partial 16S ribosomal RNA". It matches the Rfam family "Bacterial small subunit ribosomal RNA", at positions 524 to 776 of the family's 1533-position model. The record is from RNAcentral.